UAGGGCUAGUCCAAACUUACACAGAGACCUGUGCUCUACAGGCACAGAACUGGGAGCCAGCCUCUCCUUCCUGGAUCUCCACUGCCUUACAACUGACAGAUGUCUGUCAUCUUCUCUUCCAUGAUAAUUUUUUCAGGAUCUGCCUGGGUUCAGUGGUCAGUGCUGACAGAGCAGCAAUCAUCUUCCUCAGAAGACCUGUGUGUGGAAAUUGGUGAUUGUUUUUUUAAUUGAGCUACAAAAACUUCAUAUAUACUUCAGCUAUCUUAUUCCCAGGUUUCCUCUUCCUUCAUCUCUGAAAUUCAGGUUGCGUCCUCCCUGCUUGGCGAUCACUCUUUUUUAACAUGCCACCUCAUAGAGUGAUGCCUUGAACCCAAUCAUGUUUCUUGCUGCAACUGCAAAAUAAAUAAUACUUAUAUUUUACUCUUUCAGGAUUUAGACUUUGGUUGUUUGUGGCAGAUUUUAUACUCAACUGUGGCUUUAAUAUGUCAACAUUUUAAAAUUAAUAAAAAUUUGGAGAUGGAAUGACUUUGUACAUAUCCUGUGUGUCAGAGUCAAACAGAUCAAAUUAUUUUCAUUACAACUUAACCUUGGUUUAAGUGUGUCCAGGAUAAAGGUUGUCUCAGAAGCAUGUAUUCAUUCCAUGCAGGAGGAGGAGGAGAGGGAAGGUGCUGGCUUUAUUCCCAGGUCCAAAACAAAUGAUGCCAUAAGAGUCCACUCCCUUCCAAAGGGGCAUUGGUCUUUCUUGCUUUUCAAGUCUUUUCCUGCUUGCUUUGACCUUCCUUAAGUGUCUCCUUUUAUUGCUCUUUUUUUUUUUUUUUCUUGAGCUGGAGAAUCAUUGGAGUAAAAUCUGACCUCCAUGAUUCAUCCAAGGCCACAAAAUGAAUAGGACCUUUAUGAGAAACCAAAGAUGAGAUCCAUGUCUCUGUCCCAGUCAGAUGGCUGAGGUCCUUCUGCUGGCCCUAUGGCUAACUUCAGUGGCAAACUUUGGUCCAGUGCUUGCUCACAUGCAUGUCUCCAAAAUCCCACAUGCACGUGUGUGUUCAUAUACAGGACACAAUUAUUCCCCUGCUUGCUGGCACACUGUCACUUUCUUCAGGCUAAUGUUGAUGUAAAAUCAAAAAGCAGAAGCUAGAGCAACAGAAAAUUUUCCUGUUGUGUAGAUCCUGGUAAAUGCCCACAGAAGAACUUCUUUAGUGUGAGGGUGACCGAGCACUGGAACAGAUUGCCCAGAGAGGUUGUGGAGUCUCCCUCACUGGAGAUAUUCCAGAACCAUCUGGACACAAUCCUGUGCCAUGUGCUCCAGGGUGAUCCUGCUUGAGCAGGGAGGUGGGACCAGAUGACCUCACUGUGGUCCUUCCAGCCUGACCCCCUCUGUGGUUUUGUGAAAGGAGCUGAGCUCAUGUGCAGUCACAAAGGCUGGGGGCAAGUUAAGGCUGGUAAAGUUGUUGAAUGCCACUUCAACAGUAACUUUUUCCUUAUCUAUUGCAUGAUAAUGAAUCAAGAAGAUCUAAGGCCAGGCCAUCCCAUCCCUCUUCUUGUUUCCUUGUUUCUUACAAGGCUCCUUUCCAAAAUUCUGAUUUUUUGAAACCAUUUUUAAUUUUAGUGCUACAUGUGUUGUAUUUGCCCAAGUACAAUAUAAGAAAUGACCUGACUUGUCAGAACUACAUUUGGUGCUAGCACUAAUAAUACAGGAAUGAAGGACAAACUGAGUAAAGGACAACCUCAGCAGAGGCUGAGGAUGCCCUUCCCAGCCUGCAACCCACUUCAAGGUUCUGCCCAAGUUAAUAGGACAGAAGUAACAGU
Molecule: long non-coding RNA, 1803 nt
Organism: Prinia subflava (tawny-flanked prinia)
Lineage: Eukaryota; Metazoa; Chordata; Aves; Passeriformes; Cisticolidae
Exons: 3
Source: RefSeq, a predicted model, not a curated record